This 657-nucleotide ribosomal RNA is filed under the name Nasutitermes longipennis. RNAcentral's name for it is "partial 16S ribosomal RNA". The stretch from base 250 to 502 matches the Rfam family "Archaeal large subunit ribosomal RNA", at positions 1787 to 2143 of the family's 2987-position model. Lineage: Eukaryota; Metazoa; Arthropoda; Insecta; Blattodea; Termitidae. The record is from RNAcentral.
UUAUUUUUAUUUGAUGUUAAGAUUAAGGGGGAUUAGCUCCUUGUUUUAUUCUUAUAAUUGGUUUGGGUUAUAGAUUUAGUUUUGUGGAUUUUAUGGUGAUUUUCUAUUUGAUUAUGUUAAAAUUUUAUUUGUUCUUUUUUUGAUUUUUUGUUAUUUAAGUUAUUUAUUGAAAUGUUUUCUUUAUUUUGGUUUGUAUAGUAAUUAUUGUGUAAUUAGUAAAUUUUGUUUAUUGUUUUGUAUGUUGAAGUGAGGUGUUAAUUACUUUUGAGGAAUUAGGCAAAGUUUUUAUGUCCGCCUGUUUAACAAAAACAUCUUUUCUUGUUAGUUUUUGAAGUAUGGCCUGCCCACUGACUGAUUGUUGAAGGGCCGCGGUAUUUUGACCGUGCAAAGGUAGCAUAAUCAUUAGUUCUUUAAUUGUGAUCUGGUAUGAAUGGCUUGACGAGACAUAGACUGUCUUAGAGGUAUUGUUUAUUGAAUUUGGUUUCUGAGUUAAAAUUCUUAGAUGUUUUUAUGGGACGAGAAGACCCUAUAGAGUUUAACAUUUAUUCUUAUUUGUUUAGUUGUUUGUUUUAUAUUUAUUGAGUGGGAGUGGUUGUUUUGUUGGGGUGAUAGGAGGAAUGUAUUUAACUCCUCUUUGUUUUUGUAUAUUUAUAUAUA